ACAAGAAAGAACACUGGUCUGCAGAGUGAGCCUUGGGUCAUGACUCUCAGGCGACGCACAAUGUGCCAUUGGGGUGCCCAGGCCGACAGCCUAAUUUGGCUUUUGGUUGAAGGCCAAGCUGGAAAAGGAAGGGGCAGGUGCCUUGUAAGAAACUGAGUUCACUUUGUAGCGUGGAGCCUUUCCAAAGUGGGCAAGUUUCCAUCUCUUGCUGGCAAUGGGCACAGGGCAAGUGCUCUACAGAAUGAAGAAAGAAGGUUCCCAUUGUCAGUGAUACAAAGACCAUGGACAAGGAGGAUCCACACCCAAGGCCAGGUGAAAAGGGCAAGAAUCCUGAAAAGAUAAAGAAGACACUACUAAACACGAUUGCCCUGGGUCUGAAAGCAACAAGGACGGUGUGGUCAUGAGACUUGUUUACAUCAUAUGAGAUCAUAGUAUAUAGUUUUAAAUAGAAGACAUUUGGAGCUGGAGAGAUGCUCAGUGGUUAAGCGCACUUGCUGCCCUUUUAAAGGACCCAGGUUCAGUUCCCGC
Long non-coding RNA from Mus musculus (house mouse), 528 nucleotides. RefSeq annotates it as predicted gene, 54155. NCBI's taxonomy places the organism in Eukaryota, Metazoa, Chordata, Mammalia, Rodentia, Muridae. The record is from RefSeq and is a predicted model, not a curated record. The transcript is spliced from 3 exons.